Molecule: unclassified non-coding RNA, 337 nt
Filed under: soil metagenome
Description: partial contains 5.8S ribosomal RNA, internal transcribed spacer 2, and large subunit ribosomal RNA
Rfam family: 5.8S ribosomal RNA (bases 1-120)
Source: RNAcentral
GAUGAAGAACGCAGCGAAUUGCGAUAAGUAAUGUGAAUUGCAGAAUUCAGUGAAUCAUCGAAUCUUUGAACGCACAUUGCGCCCUUUGGUAUUCCUUAGGGCAUGCCUGUUCGAGCAUCAUCUAAACCUUCAAGCCCUGCUUGGUGUUGGGUGCCUGUCCCGCCUCCGCGCGUGGACUCACCUCAAAUCCAUUGGCGGCCCCCGCGUCGGCCACGAGCGCAGCAGAAACGCGAACUCGUGAGCCCGUCCGGGCGGCUCCCAGAAGCUAACCCCCAAUUUUUGACCUCGGAUCAGGUAGGGAUACCCGCUGAACUUAAGCAUAUCAAUAAGCGGAGGA